This 301-nucleotide ribosomal RNA is filed under the name uncultured bacterium. RNAcentral describes it as "partial 16S ribosomal RNA". It matches the Rfam family "Bacterial small subunit ribosomal RNA", at positions 509 to 807 of the family's 1533-position model. The record is from RNAcentral.
CAGCAGCCGCGGGAAUACGUAGGGUGCGAGCGUUAAUCGGAAUUACUGGGCGUAAAGCGUGCGCAGGCGGUUAUAUAAGACAGAUGUGAAAUCCCCGGGCUCAACCUGGGACCUGCAUUUGUGACUGUAUAGCUAGAGUACGGUAGAGGGGGAUGGAAUUCCGCGUGUAGCAGUGAAAUGCGUAGAUAUGCGGAGGAACACCGAUGGCGAAGGCAAUCCCCUGGACCUGUACUGACGCUCAUGCACGAAAGCGUGGGGAGCAAACAGGAUUAGAUACCCGCGUAGUCCCUGUCUCUUAUAC